UCAGUUCGGAUUGGAGUCUGCAACCCGACUCCAUGAAGCUGGAUUCGCUAGUAAUCGCGCAUCAGCCACGGCGCGGUGAAUACGUUCCCGGGCCUUGUACACACCGCCCGUCAAGCCAUGGAAGCCGGGGGUGCCUGAAGUGCGCUGCCGCAAGGAGCGCCCUAGGGUAAACCGGUGACUGGGGCUAAGUCGUAACAAGGUACC
This 204-nucleotide ribosomal RNA is filed under the name uncultured bacterium. Its description in RNAcentral is "partial 16S ribosomal RNA". It matches the Rfam family "Bacterial small subunit ribosomal RNA", at positions 1288 to 1500 of the family's 1533-position model. The record is from RNAcentral.